AUGCUGCUGUGGGGCCUGGGCCAGCCGGCGUCGCACCGCCCCAACGCCUUCGCGCGGCAGGGCUUGCCGGCCUUCCCCAUCGACGCGUGCGGGCGCCGCCUGACGCUCCAGCAGCAGCCGUCCUCCUUCCGGGGGGCUUCCGGUGUCACCGGCGCCGUGGUGUGGGACAGCACCGUCGUGCUCGCCAAGUUCCUCGAGCACGCGGCCGACGGCGGCCUGCUCUCCGUACGCGGGGCGCGCGCCGUGGACCUCGGCGCCGGGUGCGGGCUCGUGGCCGCGCUGCUCGGCGCGCGGGUCGUGCCGACCGAUUUGCCUGACCGCGUCCGGCUGCUCCGCAAGAACCUCGAGGAGAACGUCGGGGGGUCGGCGACGGUGGCGGAGCUGGUGUGGGGCGACGAGUACGAGGUCGACCCGGAGCUGCUGCUCCGGCUGGACCCAGAGCCGCCGGAGCUGGUGCUGGGGUCCGACCCUUGGAGGCGGCCAUGA
Molecule: ribosomal RNA, 486 nt
Filed under: Triticum aestivum (bread wheat)
Lineage: Eukaryota; Viridiplantae; Streptophyta; Magnoliopsida; Poales; Poaceae
Description: partial small subunit ribosomal RNA
Source: RNAcentral